GAUGAAGAACGCAGCGAAAUGCGAUAAGUAAUGUGAAUUGCAGAAUUCAGUGAAUCAUCGAAUCUUUGAACGCACAUUGCGCCCGGUAGUAUUCUGCCGGGCAUGCCUGUUCGAGCGUCAUUUCAACCAUCAAGCCCCCGCGCUUGUGUUGGGGGCUUGCGGCUGCCGCAGCCCCCCAAAAGCAGUGGCGGGCUCGCUAUCACACCGAGUGCAGUAGUUCAUCUUCUCUCCGGUCUUGUGAGGCGGGUUCCGGCCGUGAAACACCCCACUACAGUCAAGGUUGACCUCGGAUCAGGUAGGAAUACCCGCUGAACUUAAGCAUAUCAAUAAGCGGAGGA
This 338-nucleotide unclassified non-coding RNA is filed under the name soil metagenome. RNAcentral's name for it is "partial contains 5.8S ribosomal RNA, internal transcribed spacer 2, and large subunit ribosomal RNA". The stretch from base 1 to 120 matches the Rfam family "5.8S ribosomal RNA", at positions 35 to 154 of the family's 154-position model. The record is from RNAcentral.